UACAGAGGAGCCAAGCGUUGUCCGGAUUGACUGGGCGUAAAGCGCGUGUAGGCUGCUUGGCAAGUCGGAUGUGAAAGCCCUGGGCUCAACCCAGGAAGUGCAUUCGAAACUGCCGAGCUGGAGUCCUGGAGAGGAAGGCGGAAUUCUCGGUGUAGAGGUGAAAUUCGUAGAUAUCGAGAGGAACACCGGUGGCGAAGGCGGCCUUCUGGACAGUGACUGACGCUGAGACGCGAAAGCGUGGGGAGCAAACAGG
RNAcentral lists this ribosomal RNA (253 nucleotides) under uncultured bacterium. RNAcentral's name for it is "partial 16S ribosomal RNA". It matches the Rfam family "Bacterial small subunit ribosomal RNA", at positions 524 to 776 of the family's 1533-position model. The record is from RNAcentral.